Molecule: transfer RNA, 73 nt
Filed under: Spirochaetota bacterium
Lineage: Bacteria; Pseudomonadati; Spirochaetota
Description: tRNA-Val
Rfam family: tRNA
About the family: Transfer RNA (tRNA) molecules are approximately 80 nucleotides in length. Their secondary structure includes four short double-helical elements and three loops (D, anti-codon, and T loops).
Source: RNAcentral
GGGAGCUUAGCUCAGCUGGGAGAGCAUCUGCCUUACAAGCAGAGGGUCAGAGGUUCGAUCCCUCUAGCUCCCA